RNAcentral lists this ribosomal RNA (229 nucleotides) under uncultured bacterium. Its description in RNAcentral is "partial 16S ribosomal RNA". It matches the Rfam family "Bacterial small subunit ribosomal RNA", at positions 118 to 347 of the family's 1533-position model. The record is from RNAcentral.
UGGGCAACCUGCCCUCAGCUCUGGGAUAACUCCGGGAAACCGGGGCUAAUACCGGAUACGACCUUCCCUCGCAUGGGGGUUGGUGGAAAGUUCUUCGGCUGAGGAUGGGCCCGCGGCCUAUCAGCUUGUUGGUGGGGUGAUGGCCUACCAAGGCGACGACGGGUAGCCGGCCUGAGAGGGCGACCGGCCACACUGGGACUGAAACACGGCCCAGACUCCUACGGGGGCA